CAGACUGUACUUUCAGGGAUCAUUUCUAUAGUUUGUUACUAGAGAAGCUCCUCUGAACGUGUAGUGCACCUGAAACCAUGAGGAGGAGAAGGAGUGUUCUCUCCUGAGCGUGAAAUCGGCUUUUGGUGUUGCUUCGGUGACUGCCAUUGCCCAUCGAUGAUUGUCCUUCUCUCUCCUUGGAGGGAGUAUGGGGGAGAAAGCACCGUCUGAGUGGG
This is a small nucleolar RNA of Phyllostomus discolor (pale spear-nosed bat), 215 nucleotides long. RefSeq annotates it as small nucleolar RNA U3. The record is from RefSeq and is a predicted model, not a curated record. Lineage: Eukaryota; Metazoa; Chordata; Mammalia; Chiroptera; Phyllostomidae. The transcript has a single exon.